CGGCGAUUAGCGCAGUCCGGUUAGCGCACUUCGUUAGGGACGAAGGGGUCGAAGGUUCGAAUCCUUUAUCGCCGACCA
Molecule: transfer RNA, 78 nt
Filed under: Candidatus Avisuccinivibrio stercorigallinarum
Lineage: Bacteria; Pseudomonadati; Pseudomonadota; Gammaproteobacteria; Aeromonadales; Succinivibrionaceae
Description: tRNA-Pro
Rfam family: tRNA
About the family: Transfer RNA (tRNA) molecules are approximately 80 nucleotides in length. Their secondary structure includes four short double-helical elements and three loops (D, anti-codon, and T loops).
Source: RNAcentral